RNAcentral lists this ribosomal RNA (427 nucleotides) under uncultured Chlamydiaceae bacterium. Its description in RNAcentral is "partial 16S ribosomal RNA". It matches the Rfam family "Bacterial small subunit ribosomal RNA", at positions 355 to 774 of the family's 1533-position model. Lineage: Bacteria; Pseudomonadati; Chlamydiota; Chlamydiia; Chlamydiales; Chlamydiaceae. The record is from RNAcentral.
UCGAGAAUCUUUCGCAAUGGGCGAAAGCCUGACGAAGCGACGCCGCGUGUGUGAUGAAGGCCUUAGGGUUGUAAAGCACUUUCGCCUGGGAGUAAGAAAGCUUGGCUAAUAUCCAAGCAAUUUGAGAGUACUAGGUAAAGAAGCACCGGCUAACUCCGUGCCAGCAGCUGCGGUAAUACGGAGGGUGCAAGCGUUAAUCGGAUUUAUUGGGCGUAAAGGGCGUGUAGGCGGAAAGGAAAGUUAGAUGUUAAAUCUUGAAGCUCAACUUCAAGUCAGCAUCUAAUACUAUCUAUCUAGAGGACAGACGGAGAAAAGGGAAUUCCACAUGUAGCGGUGAAAUGCGUAGAUAUGUGGAAGAACAUCAGUGGCGAAGGCGCUUUUCUAGUUUGAUCCUGACGCUGAGGCGCGAAAGCAAGGGGAGCAAACA